AAAAGAUUACCAAGAUUUACGAAAAAUGGUUAAAAAUUGACUAUAAAGGGCAAUAACUCCUAAAGGGGUCAACUGACCAUUUCCGUCAUGUUGACUUAUUUGUAAAUCUUACUUUGCUGAACAUUAUUCCUGUUUACAGUUUAUCUCUAUCUAUAAUAAUAUUCAAGAUAAUAACCAAAAACAGCAAAAUUUCUUUAAAAUUAUCAAUUCAGGGGCAAAAACCCAACAACAGGUUGUCUGAUUCAUCUGAAAAUUUCAGGGCAGAUAGAUCUUGACCUGAUAAACAAUUUUACCCACGUCAGAUUUGCUCUAAAUGCUUUGGUUUUUGAGUUAUAAGCCAAAAACUGCAUUUGACCCCUAUGUUCUAUUUUUUAGCAAUGGCGACCAUGUUUGUUGAUAGAUCAAAACUUCGGAUACAAUUUAUAAAUUAGAUACCCUAAGGAACAUUCAGUUAAAGUUUGAAAGCAUUUGGCCCAGUAGUUUCGGAGGAGAAGAUUCUUGAAAUAGUUUACGACGACGACAGACGACGACAGACGACGACAGACGACGGACGACGACGGACGCCAAGUGAUGGCAUAAGCUCACUUGUCCCUUCGGGACAGGUGAGCUAAAAAAACACACCAACUAAA
Molecule: long non-coding RNA, 629 nt
Filed under: Mytilus galloprovincialis (Mediterranean mussel)
Lineage: Eukaryota; Metazoa; Mollusca; Bivalvia; Mytilida; Mytilidae
Source: RNAcentral